Aquila chrysaetos chrysaetos is the source of this 758-nucleotide long non-coding RNA. RefSeq lists it as uncharacterized. Lineage: Eukaryota; Metazoa; Chordata; Aves; Accipitriformes; Accipitridae. The record is from RefSeq and is a predicted model, not a curated record. The transcript is spliced from 3 exons.
CACAACAGCUUUGCUCAGUGCUUUCAUUUCGUUUUACUGCCUCUUCUGCUGCCGUUCGGGCGAGAGCGAUUAUUUAUUUUGUUGCCUUUCUUUGGCCUGUUUUUCCAAUAGGAAUUUGUGAUACGCUUACAGAAUUCCCUGGCACAGCUCGCCGGUGGGGACUGUCUGCUGUGGGCAGCCUUUUCAGCCCUUUGAAGAGUGCUUACACACUGUUAGUGAGUCAGCAUGCGCGAAAGCUGUCGCAUCCUCGUUUCUCAAGCACCUUUCCUCCAGUUGCUUUCCAAAUUGCUUUUCGUGGGGGUCGAUCUAGCCAUCACAAGAAGGCAGUCACUUCUGUGGCAGAUAUUUAAAAGCAACUGCGUUUAGUAACGUGGAGCAGAAUGGGAGUAAGAACACAAGAGACGGGGGCUUCUCUGGUGGAUGCUAUCUUUACCCCAGUGUUUGCUGUCCGGGGGCCCGGGGAGGCAGCGGGAGAGUCGGUGAGGCGGGGAAUGCCCGGCUGAAGCAGCCUGGGAGGAGGAGCACAGCUGGAAGACCUGCAGAGGAUGUGGAUGGUAGCUAAGCCCACACCACCGAAAGCAGCAAACCUCAGUCCCACACCCCUGUCCUUCUGCACAGUCCCAUCCAGCCCAGCCUGGAAACUUCUGGAUCACCCUGCAAUAUUCCCACCCAAGGGGGCUUCAACCAAACCCCACCGGUGAUAGGUAAAGCAAAGACAGUGCUUCAGCACAAACAGGACUCGGAGAUGAAAAAAGCCC